CGUACUGAGACACGGACCAGACUCCUACGGGAGGCAGCAGUGAGGAAUAUUGGUCAAUGGGCGCGAGCCUGAACCAGCCAUCCCGCGUGCAGGAUGACGGCCCUAUGGGUUGUAAACUGCUUUUCUACGCCAAGAAAGGUCCGUACGUGUACGGGAUUGACGGUAGCGUAGGAAUAAGCAUCGGCUAACUCCGUGCCAGCAGCCGCGGUAAUACGGAGGAUGCAAGCGUUAUCCGGAAUCACUGGGUGUAAAGGGUGUGCAGGCGGGGCAACAAGUCGGAUGUGAAACCCCAUGGCUCAACCAUGGAGGUGCAUUCGAAACUGUUGCUCUUGAGUCCCGGAGAGGCUGUCGGAACUCGUGGUGUAGCGGUGAAAUGCGUAGAUAUCACGAGGAACACCAGAGGCGAAAGCGGGCAGCUGGACGGGUACUGACGCUCAGGCACGAAAGCGUGGGGAGCAAACAGGAUUAGAUACCCUGGUAGUCUACGCCGUAAACGGUGGUUACUAGCUGUUCGGGUUAAUUGAGACCUGAGUGGCUAAGCGAAAGUGAUAAGUAACCCACCUGGGGAGUACGUUCGCAAGAAUGAAACUCAAAGGAAUUGACGG
This 605-nucleotide ribosomal RNA is filed under the name uncultured Bacteroidota bacterium. RNAcentral describes it as "bacterial SSU rRNA". It matches the Rfam family "Bacterial small subunit ribosomal RNA", at positions 315 to 916 of the family's 1533-position model. Lineage: Bacteria; Pseudomonadati; Bacteroidota. The record is from RNAcentral.